CUGCAGAGAGAGGCAGGGGGGCAUUAAUCCCAAUCCACUGUAUGCCACAUAGAGCCCUCAAAGUGUUCCUGAAGGCAUGGASAAGACAAGGACCUUGCCACUGACAAAGGCCAGUACUCCGUGGUUCUGCAGCACAUGGAGCACCUGGCCRUAGCAUCAACAACAGCGGAAGUUCAAGGGCGGGCAAAGAAGGGGAAUCUGAAAGGCUUCACGGACCUCACCAAUCCCCAGCUGAAGCAGCACAUGGAGGCGGCCAUCAACAUCAGCGUGGAUGAUCUCAAAGCCAGGUUUGGUGGUUUGCUGAUGGAUGAGGGUGUCCAGACCCCAGUGGAGUCUUUCAGAGUGCUAAACCCUGACACAUGACCAGAAGACCAGACCAGCCUUCUCACCUUUGGCGAUGAUGGUGUGGCAGACCUGAUGAGGCAUUUCAAGAAGCCUCUAUAGAUCAGGGUGUAACAUGGCUGUAAUCCAGGAUGAGUGGCAGGGCUGAACAUCCUGGUCAGACACAAUUUCAAGGACAACUCCUGCAGUGGCCUGUGGGAGACCAUGUUGACAAAGGACCCCUACAGGCACAAUUGCAAGAACAUACUGGAGUUGGUGCUGCCCAUUUCAGCCGCCCAGUGUGAGCGAGGCUUCUCUGCGCAGAACCGGAUUAAGAAUUCGACAAGAAGCUGCCUUGGGGUCUCCACCACCGAAGACCUGAUGAGGAUCAGCCUGGAGGGGCCUCCUGUCGAGGAGUUGGAUCCCACUCCUGCCGUGGACCGCUGGCUGACCUCGUGCCAGACGGCCAACAUACAAAAGCAGCUGGACAACUGAUAUCCUUUGCGUCUAGUAGCCAUGGGUCAAUGUGUGGUUUUGGUGGUAUGUGCUGUUCCACAGAUGUGUCCCUUAGUACACGCUCACACACACACACACGCAGUAUAAAUAUGUAUGUAAUAAAUUGUUUGUUAAUAAACUGUGUUACAUUUUUCACUGUGCUCCUAAAUUUCUUUGUGUGCUCCUACAUUUUUUCCAUUUAGGAGCGCAUGUACUCCUUGGGAAAAAAGAUAGCGUAGAGCCCUGGGCAGACCACGUGUAUGGUGUCUUGUGGGCGAGUGGUUUGCUGAUGUCAACGUUGUGAACAGUGCCCCAUGGUGGUGGGGUUAUGUUUAGCUCUCACCGGGAAUGGAAGUACCCAGAGCCACAAACACCACGGCAGUGACAGUGUCCCUGAGACCGACGGUGCAGCCGAAGUGGGAGG
This is a non-coding RNA of Salvelinus sp. IW2-2015, 1240 nucleotides long. Lineage: Eukaryota; Metazoa; Chordata; Actinopteri; Salmoniformes; Salmonidae. The record is from RefSeq and is a predicted model, not a curated record.